UACCAGCUCUCCGAGUGGUAGGGAUGAUUAUUGGGCUUAAAGCGUCCGUAGCCGGCUUAGCAAGUUUCCUGUUAAAUUCAGCGACCUAAUCGUUGAGCCGCGGGAAAUACUACUAGGCUAGGAGGCGGGAGAGGUCGACGGUACUUCUGGGGUAGGGGUGAAAUCCUAUAAUCCCGGGAGGACCACCAGUGGCGAAGGCUGUCGACUAGAACGCGCUCGACGGUGAGGGACGAAAGCUGGGGGAGCGAACCGGAUUAGAUACCCGGGUAGUCCCAGCUGUAAGCGAUGCGGGCUAGGUGUUGGGGUGGCUACGUGCCACUUCAGUGCCGCAGGGAAGCCAUUAAGCCCGCCGCCUGGGGAGUACGGCCGCAAGGCUGAACCUAAAGGAAUUGGCGGGGGAGCACCACAAGGCGUGAAGCUUGCGGUUC
RNAcentral lists this ribosomal RNA (428 nucleotides) under uncultured archaeon. RNAcentral describes it as "bacterial SSU rRNA". It matches the Rfam family "Archaeal small subunit ribosomal RNA", at positions 474 to 903 of the family's 1478-position model. The record is from RNAcentral.